This 433-nucleotide ribosomal RNA is filed under the name uncultured bacterium. Its description in RNAcentral is "partial 16S ribosomal RNA". It matches the Rfam family "Bacterial small subunit ribosomal RNA", at positions 29 to 507 of the family's 1533-position model. The record is from RNAcentral.
AGCGAACGCUGGCGGCAUGCUUAACACAUGCAAGUCGCACGGCCAGCAAUUUCGGUGUCGGUCUGGUGAGUAGCGCGUGGGAACGUGUCCUGAGGUGGGUGACAACCUCGGGAAACUGGGGCUAAUACCUCAUAUAGGCUAAGCCCCUAAGCCGAACGACGCCUUUGGAGCGGCCUGCGUUCGAUUGGGUUGUUGGUGUGGUAAAGGCCUAUCAAGCCUGCGAUCGGUAGCUGGUCUGAGAGGAAGACCAGCCACACUGGGACUGAGACACGGCCCAGAAUCUUACGGGAGGCAGCAGUGGGGAAUAUAGGACAAUGGGCGAAAGGCUGAACCAGCAAGGGCGCGUGGGUGAAGAAGGUCUGAGGAUAGUAAAGCCCUUUAGAAGGGGACGAUGAUGACGGUACCCGAAGAAGAAGCCCCGGCUAACUUCGUG